MicroRNA precursor from Equus caballus (horse), 145 nucleotides. The record is from Ensembl. Lineage: Eukaryota; Metazoa; Chordata; Mammalia; Perissodactyla; Equidae.
GCUGGGGCUUCGGGACCCUCCUCAUCCCAGGAUGAUGAACCUGUGCCAGCUGUGUGACCCUGGGGAAGUUACUCAGCCUCUCUGGGUCUUAGGAUGACGGCACUCACCUCCUCCAUGGUUGUGAGGAGAGUUCUGCUCUCCUUGG